GGCGACGAUGCCAAGUGGUCUAAGGCGCAGGUCUGCAAAACCUCUAUUCGGCGGUUCGAAUCCGCCCGUCGCCUCCA
RNAcentral lists this transfer RNA (77 nucleotides) under Dehalococcoidia bacterium. RNAcentral describes it as "tRNA-Cys". It matches the Rfam family "tRNA". From Rfam's summary of the family: Transfer RNA (tRNA) molecules are approximately 80 nucleotides in length. Their secondary structure includes four short double-helical elements and three loops (D, anti-codon, and T loops). Further hydrogen bonds mediate the characteristic L-shaped molecular structure. tRNAs have two regions of fundamental functional importance: the anti-codon, which is responsible for specific mRNA codon recognition, and the 3' end, to which the tRNAs corresponding amino acid is attached (by aminoacyl-tRNA synthetases). tRNAs cope with the degeneracy of the genetic code in two manners: having more than one tRNA (with a specific anti-codon) for a particular amino acid; and 'wobble' base-pairing, i.e. permitting non-standard base-pairing at the 3rd anti-codon position. The record is from RNAcentral. Lineage: Bacteria; Bacillati; Chloroflexota; Dehalococcoidia.